RNAcentral lists this ribosomal RNA (503 nucleotides) under uncultured bacterium. RNAcentral describes it as "partial 16S ribosomal RNA". It matches the Rfam family "Bacterial small subunit ribosomal RNA", at positions 30 to 523 of the family's 1533-position model. The record is from RNAcentral.
AUUGAACGCUGGCGGCAGGCUUAACACAUGCAAGUCGAGCGGGGUGAUGGUGCUUGCACUAUCACUUAGCGGCGGACGGGUGAGUAAUGCUUAGGAAUCUGCCUAUUAGUGGGGGACAACAUCUCGAAAGGGAUGCUAAUACCGCAUACGUCCUACGGGAGAAAGCAGGGGAUCACUUGUGACCUUGCGCUAAUAGAUGAGCCUAAGUCGGACUAGCUAGUUGGUGGGGUAAAGGCCUACCAAGGCGACGAUCUGUAGCGGGUCUGAGAGGAAGAUCCGCCACACUGGGACUGAGACAAGCCCCCGACUCCUACGGGAGGGAGCAGUGGGGCAUAUUGGCCAAUGGCGGGAACCCUGGUCCAGCCAUGCCGCGUGUGUGAAGAAGGCCUUUUGGUUGUAAAGCACUUUAAGCGAGGAGGAGGCUCUUUUGGUUAAUACCCAAGAUGAGUGGACGUUACUCGCAGAAUAAGCACCGGCUAACUCUGUGCCAGCCGCCGCCGUAA